This 68-nucleotide transfer RNA is filed under the name uncultured Aestuariivirga sp. It matches the Rfam family "tRNA". From Rfam's summary of the family: Transfer RNA (tRNA) molecules are approximately 80 nucleotides in length. Their secondary structure includes four short double-helical elements and three loops (D, anti-codon, and T loops). The record is from RNAcentral. Lineage: Bacteria; Pseudomonadati; Pseudomonadota; Alphaproteobacteria; Hyphomicrobiales; Aestuariivirgaceae.
CGGAGGUAGCUCAAUGGCAGAGCCGCGGUUUUCCACACCGCUGACGCGGGUUCGAUUCCCGUCCUCCG